UGCAGUCGAGCGAACUUUUGGGAGCUUGCUCCCAAAAGUUAGCGGCGGACGGGUGAGUAACACGUGGGCAACCUGCCUAUAAGACUGGGAUAACUUCGGGAAACCGGAGCUAAUACCGGAUAACAUAUGAGACCACAUGGUCUCAUAUUAAAAGAUGGCUUUUAGCUAUCACUUAUAGAUGGGCCCGCGGCGCAUUAGCUAGUUGGUGAGGUAAUGGCUCACCAAGGCGACGAUGCGUAGCCGACCUGAGAGGGUGAUCGGCCACACUGGGACUGAGACACGGCCCAGACUCCUACGGGAGGCAGCAGUAGGGAAUCUUCCGCAAUGGACGAAAGUCUGACGGAGCAACGCCGCGUGAGCGAAGAAGGUCUUCGGAUCGUAAAGCUCUGUUGUUAGGGAAGAACAAGUACCGUUCAAAUAGGGCGGUACCUUGACGGUACCUAACCAGAAAGCCACGGCUAACUACGUGCCAGCAGCCGCGGUAAUACGUAGGUGGCAAGCGUUAUCCGGAAUUAUUGGGCGUAAAGCGCGCGCAGGCGGUCCUUUAAGUCUGAUGUGAAAGCCCACGGCUCAACCGUGGAGGGUCAUUGGAAACUGGGGGACUUGAGUGCAGAAGAGGAGAGCGGAAUUCCACGUGUAGCGGUGAAAUGCGUAGAGAUGUGGAGGAACACCAGUGGCAAAGGCGGCUCUCUGGUCUGUAACUGACGCUGAGGCGCGAAAGCGUGGGGAGCGAACAGGAUUAGAUACCCUGGUAGUCCACGCCGUAAACGAUGAGUGCUAAGUGUUAGAGGGUUUCCGCCCUUUAGUGCUGCAGCAAACGCAUUAUGCACUCCGCCUGGGGAGUACGGUCGCAGGACUGAAACUCAAAGGAAUUGACGGG
RNAcentral lists this ribosomal RNA (880 nucleotides) under Ferdinandcohnia humi. Its description in RNAcentral is "bacterial SSU rRNA". It matches the Rfam family "Bacterial small subunit ribosomal RNA", at positions 56 to 917 of the family's 1533-position model. The record is from RNAcentral. Lineage: Bacteria; Bacillati; Bacillota; Bacilli; Caryophanales; Bacillaceae.